This 476-nucleotide ribosomal RNA is filed under the name unidentified nematode Sourhope farm. Its description in RNAcentral is "SSU rRNA". It matches the Rfam family "Eukaryotic small subunit ribosomal RNA", at positions 57 to 529 of the family's 1831-position model. The record is from RNAcentral. Lineage: Eukaryota; Metazoa; Nematoda.
UCCUAAGUAUAACCUGCCAGACAGGGAAACUGCGUACGGCUCAUUACACCAGCCUUAAUUUACUUGACCUUGACAACCUACUUGGAUAACUGUGGUAAUUCUAGAGCUAAUACAUGCACCAAAGCUCCGAUCCUCGCGGAGAGGAGCGCAUUUGUUCGCCACAAAACCAAGCGCCCAUCUGGGCGUCCAGUGCUGAACCAGAACAACUCAGCUGAUCGCACGGUCUUGUACCGGCGACGUGUCUUUCAAGUGUCUGCCUUAUCAACUUUCGAUGGUAGUGUACCUGACUACCAUGGUUGUGACGGGUAACGGAGGAUAAGGGUUCGACUCCGGAGAAGGGGCCUGAGAAAUGGCCACUACGUCUAAGGAUGGCAGCAGGCGCGCAAAUUACCCACUCUCAACGCGAGGAGGUAGUGACGAGAAAUAACGAGACCGUUCUCAUACGAGGCCGGUUAUUGGAAUGGGUACAAUUUAAA